ACUUUUAACAACGGAUCUCUUGGCUCUCGCAUCGAUGAAGAACGCAGCGAAAUGCGAUAAGUAAUGUGAAUUGCAGAAUUCAGUGAAUCAUCGAAUCUUUGAACGCACCUUGCGCUCCUUGGUAUUCCGGGGAGCAUGCCUGUUUGAGUGUCAUUA
Molecule: ribosomal RNA, 156 nt
Filed under: Typhula incarnata
Lineage: Eukaryota; Fungi; Basidiomycota; Agaricomycetes; Agaricales; Typhulaceae
Also listed under: 1 other name
Description: 5.8S ribosomal RNA
Rfam family: 5.8S ribosomal RNA
About the family: 5.8S ribosomal RNA (5.8S rRNA) is a component of the large subunit of the eukaryotic ribosome.
Source: RNAcentral